Molecule: ribosomal RNA, 591 nt
Filed under: Macrophthalmus japonicus
Lineage: Eukaryota; Metazoa; Arthropoda; Malacostraca; Decapoda; Macrophthalmidae
Description: partial 16S ribosomal RNA
Source: RNAcentral
UGUAAAUAGCUUGUUUAAAGUUUGGGGAAUAUAGAAGGGAGUUAAGAAAAAUAAUUUUAUAAUUUUAGUAAUUUUUAAUGAAAAUUAAGUAAAGACUAGAGAGAAAAGUACUGUGAAGGAAAGUUGUUGAAAUUUUAUAUAGAAAAAGUAAAAUUUUGUGCCUCGUGUAUCAGAAAAAAUUUAUAUAAUUUAGUUAAUGGUAAGUAUCUCGAAAUAAAAUAUAGUAAUUUUUAUAAAAUUUUCUUUUUAGAAAAAAAGAAUUUAAUAUAAAAUUUAAAGUGAAAUGCUAGCUGAGUUUUAUGAUAUCUAGUUUUUUAAAAAAUAAAUUUAAUUUAAUUUUUACGAAGAAAGAAUUGUAAAAUUAAAUGGUAGGGGGGAUUAGCUCUUUACGGAAAAGUCAAUGAAAUAGGUAGAUAUAAAGAAAUUAUAUAAAUUAGGCUUAGAAGUAGCUAUAUUGAAAAAGUGUUUUAACUAAAUUAUAAUUACUUGAAUAUUUAAGAUAACUUUUGUUAGGUAUUAAAAAAACGGUUUAAACAAAAUAAAACGAAAUAUAAUGAUUUUAUUAGUAAAAUUUAUUAAGUAAAUAAAAAU